AGGAUGCAAUGGAGAACAUUUACAGAGGACUGUGGGUAAAGCAAAGUCUUCAAGGGAAGAUAACAAAGGAUGAAACAAUGGUGUUGUGUGACUUCCUAGUGUGAAUCAUGGCAAUACAGUGAAAGACAGUGAUUUACUGCUUUUGAGGGCGUGCAUGUAUAUGAUUAACGGAUGGAAGUGCAGGACUCCAAGAUUUACUUCCUUCCCUUUCCAGCAGAAUUACCUGAGACGAGUAAAAUCUACUGGUGGAGUCACUCCAUUAUUCUUAUCUGUGGAGAUCUAGAUCUUGAUUUGAAAGUUUCUGAGAAAAUCUUCAGCUCAGACUUGAGGGUCAACUUUACCAGCUGAAGUGACUACAUCCUGCCUGCUUUCAGCUCCAGUGGAAAAUGCAUUAAUCCCAGAGUCUCCGUGAGGUUUCCUGUUUGAUGACAUAAUCAGAAAAUCCUCCUCACAUUGCCCUUGGGGUUGCUGUCUGGAUGUUAUGUUGUCUUGGAUCUGCAUUUACUGCUCAACCACAUCUAAUUUGAUGUCCUCUGCAGAUUUAAAAUGUGUGCCUUCUUUUCCGUCACCAAGUCAUCCCUGGGUUACUACUGAACAUCCUUCUCAAUUCCCCCCGACCCAUGGAUGGCUGUUCUCCAUUGUCUGUUUCACCAGAUGUCCUCAAAACAAACAGACAGAAGAAGGAAGUGGCUAAUGGAGCUGUGGAGUCCAAGUGUGACUGCCAAGAGGAAUCCAGCAAAGCCAAAAAGCCCAAGCAUGUAGCCCUGCCCGAAGCACGCCACACGCAUGGAAAACCCAGAGGAAAUGAGUGAGGAUCAAUGGGAAGAAGAGAGCCAGCCAGCUCUGUAUUCUAAGAACCUGGAAACAAUCUUUAUUCACACUGUUAAGACGAUUGAGAAAAAUGGAUGGAUAGAGUUUAUUUGCUAAGAGAAAAACUGAGUGACUACCUAGCUACCUCACUCCUUUUUGCUCUAUUGGAAGUUGAAGAUUUGUCCAGGAGCAGAUAGCUGAAGAGAGAGAGAGAGAAGAGAGAACGGCUUACAGCUCAGGUCCUCUCUCCAUGCUUAGGAACCACUACAAAUGCUACUGCCUUGAGUCUCAUUUUGUUUCCCUCUGGAAACCACAUGUGUACCUUGUUUGCAACAGUAUGGGCUCACAGGCAGAAGGAAUUUUCCUUGUCUUGGAUGAGACUUUUGACUUGGACUUUUGGGUUAAGGAUUUACAGAAAGCGUGGUGCUGGCAUCUGAUCAGCUUCUGGGGUGGCCUCAGGAAGCUUACAAUCAUGGUGGCAUUUGAAGUGGAAGCGAGAGAGAGAAGAGGAGAUGCAACACACUUUUAAACAAGAUUUCAGGAGAACUCAUUCACUAUGUUCUGGAGACCAGAAGGCCAAAAUCAAAAGUAUGGGCAGGCUUGAUUUCUUUAGAAGACUCCAGCGGAGAACUGUGUCUCCUUGCUUCUGAUUCUACAUCUCCAUCCAUGGGCCACUGUUUCAGCAACCUCAGCCAGUGCAACACAACCUCAGCCAAGAAGAGUAUGCAGAGAAAGGAGUCCCCUACCUGCCACAAAACUGUUGUCUGAAAACUGUCUCAUAUUGUCUCAAGUUGUCAUUCAUUGUGAAUUAGACCUGUUUAACAUGUAAUCUGC
Homo sapiens (human) is the source of this 1644-nucleotide long non-coding RNA. Ensembl annotates it as cancer susceptibility 15. Its record names the gene CASC15. Lineage: Eukaryota; Metazoa; Chordata; Mammalia; Primates; Hominidae. The record is from Ensembl.